Ctenocephalides felis (cat flea) is the source of this 494-nucleotide long non-coding RNA. RefSeq lists it as uncharacterized. NCBI's taxonomy places the organism in Eukaryota, Metazoa, Arthropoda, Insecta, Siphonaptera, Pulicidae. The record is from RefSeq and is a predicted model, not a curated record. The transcript has 3 exons.
UUCAAUCAGGUUAAAAAAAUGUAUGUGCAAAAGCGACUCGAAGACGAUUUAGAUUUGUCUCCUGAAUAUAAAACUUCCAAGAAGUACAUCAUAUAUGAAUAUCCUGUAUCCUCGCAUUUGAUGUAUUGAACUGGCGAUAGAAUGAAAUCAGUCAGUGUUAAAAAUGUAUCUAUAAAAGCGACUUUAAGAUGAUGGAGAUUUGUACACUGAACAUAAAACUUCCAAAAUUUGGGGCAGUAUGUCAUAUGUGCAUAAUCUGUAUCCUGGCAUUUGAUGCAAUGAACUGGCGAUAGAAUGAAAUAAUGAAAAAUAGGCAGGCUGUUUGAUGUAUAAGGAAGUGGCGAUAGAAUACUUAUGCAACACUUCACACUUCACGCCCCAAAAAUAGAAUUACGUUCAUUAGAUAUACAACAAUUUUCAUUAAAUAUACUGUUAUUAAUAUGUUAAGAUUGAAUAAUUUGUAAAUAGUUUUCUAGUAUAGUUCAUGUUAAAAU